UACAGAGGGGGCAAGCGUUGUUCGGAAUUACUGGGCGUAAAGGGCGCGUAGGCGGCCCGCUAAGUCGAACGUGAAAUCCCCGGGCUCAACCCGGGAACUGCGUCCGAUACUGGCGGGCUUGAAUCCGGGAGAGGGAUGCGGAAUUCCAGGUGUAGCGGUGAAAUGCGUAGAGAUCUGGAGGAACACCGAUGGCGAAGGCAGCCUUCUGGGCCAACACUGACGCUCAUGCACGAAAGCGUGGGGAGCAAACAGG
Molecule: ribosomal RNA, 253 nt
Filed under: uncultured bacterium
Lineage: Bacteria
Description: partial 16S ribosomal RNA
Rfam family: Bacterial small subunit ribosomal RNA
Source: RNAcentral